This 481-nucleotide ribosomal RNA is filed under the name Chlorella vulgaris. Its description in RNAcentral is "bacterial SSU rRNA". It matches the Rfam family "Bacterial small subunit ribosomal RNA", at positions 236 to 730 of the family's 1533-position model. Lineage: Eukaryota; Viridiplantae; Chlorophyta; Trebouxiophyceae; Chlorellales; Chlorellaceae. The record is from RNAcentral.
CCUAAAAUUAGCUUGUUGGUGAGGUAAUGGCUUACCAAGGCAAUGAUCAGUAGCUGGUCUGAGAGGAUGAUCAGCCACACUGGGACUGAGACACGGCCCAGACUCCUACGGGAGGCAGCAGUGAGGAAUUUUCCGCAAUGGGCGACAGCCUGACGGAGCAAUGCCGCGUGAAGGAUGAAGGCCUAUGGGUUGUAAACUUCUUUUCUCAGAGAAGAAGCAUUGACGGUAUCUGAGGAAUAAGCAUCGGCUAACUCUGUGCCAGCAGCCGCGGUAAGACAGAGGAUGCAAGCGUUAUCCGGAAUGAUUGGGCGUAAAGCGUCUGUAGGUGGCUUAAAAAGUCUCCUGUCAAAGAUCAGGGCUUAACCCUGGGCCGGCAGGAGAAACUCUUAGGCUAGAGUUUGGUAGGGGCAGAGGGAAUUCCCGGUGGAGCGGUGAAAUGCGUAUAGAUCGGGAGGAACACCAAAGGCGAAAGGCCUCAACG